RNAcentral lists this unclassified non-coding RNA (625 nucleotides) under Hevea brasiliensis (rubber tree). Lineage: Eukaryota; Viridiplantae; Streptophyta; Magnoliopsida; Malpighiales; Euphorbiaceae. The record is from RNAcentral.
AUGCCGCUUGACGGCCCUCCCGCCGAGCCCAAGAAGAAGAAGCGGAUGACCAAAUUGAAGCGCCCCAUCUUGUCACCCAACUCAGACGGCGAUCGCCAAGGGUCUUUAAACAUCAAGCCGCAGGUCCAGACAGGAUAUGGUACCUGUGCGGGGUACCGUCCAAUUUUUAGACGAAGUGUGAACCCAGGAUGUGGUAACUGUGUGUGGUGCCGUCCAUUUUUAAGACGAAGUGAGAACCUCUUUGAUGUGAGUCCAGGACCCAGGUUAUCAGAUUGGUCCAUUCCGAUGCCCCUGGGUGAAUUUCCGGUGCUGAAGUUGCCUCAACAUGACAAUAGUGAUCAAUCAAUCGCUUACAGUCAUGCUGGAACGUCUGAACCACCUCCCAAAGAUGGGGAGGACAAUAGUGAUCGGCCAAUCGCUGACAGUCAUGCCGGAACGUCUGAACCGCCUGCCAAAGACGGGGAGUGAGCAUCGGGGAGUAAAUGCUCACGGAGGGAUUGAAUGACGCUUGAGGAUGGUAUUUCUGCUGCUAGUUUUUCCUUUUGAAGUAAAACUAUAUGAUAUCAGAAAAAUAUGGAUUGAGGGUAAUACUGCUGCUGCUAGUUUUUCUUUCCGGAAGUUAAAA